RNAcentral lists this long non-coding RNA (3574 nucleotides) under Canis lupus familiaris (dog). RNAcentral describes it as "lncRNA (ENSCAFG00805012749.1, ENSCAFG00845028064.1)". The record is from RNAcentral. Lineage: Eukaryota; Metazoa; Chordata; Mammalia; Carnivora; Canidae.
UUUUUUUCAGAGACUCUUUGAAGACAAAAAUGACACAAUGUUAUUUAGUUCAUCUACCUGGUCAGUGGUACUGACACAUUAUUUUAUUGUAAUGAUCAAAAAUAUUGACUGACUGAAUUUCAGUAGUAAAUUUGUAAGAUAUAGGAUUGUCCAUCUUAUCAUUUUCUCUUGUCUGGGAAUAGUAGUUUCCAUUCCUAAUUCUGCUCAUGUUUAAUAUGGAGUGAUUUAAAUAGGAAUCUGUCUGCUUGAGAGGGAUCAUGGAUUUCCCUCUUACAACAGAAUGAAGAUUUUUUUUUUUUCCUACAGAGGAUUUAACUUAGAAUCAUAUUAUGGGGUUUGGAUGCUUAUCUAAACACUUUCCCUAAUAUUGUAGCAUUCUGUAAAUGGAUUGAGAAAAUAAAAUAUCUAAAAAGUAACUAUCAUCUGGGAUUCCUUAUAAAUCUCAUUUCUUCCAAACUGUAUAUACCAAAGCAUCAUCCUUACAAAGUGGUUACUUUUUUGGUUUUGCUGAUAUUUUGAAGUGGUGCUUGAAGAGAAAGUAGGAGGACAGAGAAAUAUUUGGGGAUUUAAUUACAAAUCAAGGUCGGAUGUGCCAUAGCAAGGGCAGUCAAAAUAGCAUGACUGCAGAUACACACGUUAUAGUACUGUGACCUUUAUCUGGUUUUCACACCAGCCCUACCAUCAAGCUGCAGACUGUCAGCAUGAGGCCUUGCCUUUUGCCUCUUUCCUUGUUUCUGACCCAUUCUCCUUUCUUUGGCCUGUAUUAUCUGCAAAUGAAAUGUGAGGAAGGUAACUGAUACUCUGUAGGCCACCUUGCUUGAAAAGAAAUCAAUAAACUUGAUUUGACAACUCUAUCUUUAGCAGAAAAGGAAAAAAAAAAGUCCUCAUUUGAAGUCUAUUUAAUGGAUAGUUAUUACACAUUUACUAUGAGUAUAGCAUUUUCACAUAUUCUAUAACAUUUAACUUUGAGUAAAAGGCCCAUGUUUGAUAUAAAAAUUAAUAUAACAUGGGAGUAAAUAAUUUAGUAACCUUAACAAAUAAACAUCACUACUCAGAAUCAAACACUUAUCUAUUUGAGUCCAAGUUUGCACAGGGCAAAACAGGAAGAGGCAAAUGCCAGCAAUUGCUAGCAUUUUAUUACUUGUUUUUGCUGUUUUUGUUAAAUUAUCUCAAAUCAACACGAAAAAGUGGAUGUUCUCACUUCUAUUUCUGCACUCAAAUAAAUUAAUUAAUUAAAAAUCCAAUCCCAAAAUCAAACAAAUGAAACAACUAAAAUUGCAGAUAGAUUAAAUAAAUUGUAGGAGUUCACAAAGCCAGGAACGCUUAAUUCCAUGUCAAACACUAAAUCAAUAUUUUAUGUUGCUAUAUGACAAAAGAUGCAUAGAUCCCCAAGUGAGGUCUGAAUAUUAUGUACAACUACAAGCAUGUUAACAACAAAAUCAACACUGAACAAAAUUACCCAAAGACUUUGAAAACAAAGCAAUCACUCCAGUGUCUUUCCAUUUGCUUAGUUUGGGAUAUUCUCUAGCCUUGACUUAUAUUAACAGGAUACUUCCAAAAACCUCUGUGGCAGAGAAAAUAAGUAAAGGUUAUUAUCAUUUUACUUAAGGAAAAUUUAGUAGGAUGUUCUUUCUUGCAUGUGAUUUUCUAAACUUACCCCAUAAUUAGUUGUAAAAAUGAGAUUGGAAACUCCUCUAUCUCUGACAACCAAAUUGUUUCUUAAUCUAAGCUGUAAUCAUUAUAGAAAUUUAAGGCUUGGAGAUCUACCAUUGUUUUAAAUAGAAUGCACAAUCAAAACUCUCAUUCUUCAUUUGACAGAUCACUGAGACCCAUUGAUCUGUACUUUGGAAAUGAUUGUGUUCAUUGACUAUAUCUUAGGUAGAUGAAAAUAGAAUGUAUAAAGCAAUUAAUUAAACUAUAAUCAGUAAACAAUAAUCCUAACCUUGCACAUUAACUUUUUAUCCCAGCAUCAAUAAUAGAUUUUAAAACACAUUAUGCAUUGUGGGUAACUAUAGAAAAAUAAAUUACAAUUUUAAUUUGCCAACCCAGUGUAUUUCCAACAAAUAAAGCAUAAAUAUAACACCCUGAAAAUAUGUUUUCCAAUUACAAUUUUUAAAAUCCCUUAUAUUUAAUUAGUCUUCAUAUCAUAACAAAUUUGAUAUCAUCUGGAUCAAAAUUUCAUUUGAUGCUGAGAACAAUGAAAUGAAAUGUGAAGGCCUUUACUCACCCAUUUAAAAAUUUAAGGCAGUGAGGAUAAGAGAGUUAAAUAAUCUGGCUAGGAUGUUAGAGCAUCUGGGAUUGCAAUUUAAGUCUAACUCCCAAAUCAUGUGUAUUUAAUACAAGAGAGCAAGAAAAUUUCAGAUUAUAGAGAAUUUUAGAAAUAAGUAGUCAUCACAGAGAUUGCUCUCUAUGUUGUAUUUGAGAGGAGAAGAAUAAGGUCCUUUAAUAGAAAUAUGUUGAAAUCUGUAUAGAUUAUCUCUCUGUUGGAGCACUUCUGGGUAGUGAUAAAACAAAUUCAGAAUUAAACCUUUUUAGUAGGUUGUACAAUUGUAUCUGUAAAAUAGAUCUUAUACUUGGAGAUAAAGCAUUUCUAUGAGUAGUAGGUAUAGAACAGGAAACAUGACCUCUGGCUUUUAACAGCAAAAGUUGGAGGAUCCCUGGGUGGCUCAGCGGUUUAGCGCCUACCUUCAGCCCAGGGCCUGAUCCUGAAGACCCAGGAUCGAGUCCCGCAUCUGGCUCCCGGCACGGAGCCUGCUCCUAUCCCUGCCUCUCUCUGUCUCUCUCUCUCUCUACGUCUAUCAUAAAUAAAUCUUUAAAAAAAAUAAAAACAGCGAAAGAUGGAGAGAGGAGAGACUGCAGGAUCAAUCCAACGAUGCAAUCUAUUCUUUGCAUGCUUCUGCUUCUAGUGGUGUUAGAGAGAAUUGUAUAUCCAGUUGUUCAGUGCACAAUGCAAGCUUCUUAAGUCUUUCUUAAGAGGAGUAGGGAUAGGCAUCUACCUAGUGUAGUAAUCAGAAAAUAAGUGCUUUGCUGAUAGCAGGGCAGGCCUAGGACAUGUUUUGAUUACUUAUCUCUGAGAGGGCCUCCAAUAAAAAAUCAACUCAAACUGAUGCUUCAAUACAAUGAUAACAACAAUAGAAUGUCAGCUGAUUAUCAAUUCAAAUAGUGCUUGUGACAGUGUAGGAUUUCUGUUUCUCUUUAAUCCUCAUACAAAAUUUGUUUAAAUUUGAUUUUAUUUGUUUUCUCUGUAUGUGCAGGGACAAUCAUGCAUGCAUGGGAACAUGAGCCAUACGAAUAUCUCUAUAGCCUUUUCCCACAGUACAUUCGAAUGUUCAGUAUCUAGAGGUCGUUUAGCUAGUUAAAUGAGCAAAGGAGCUGUUUUACUCUAACAAAUAGAAGAAAAUAGUUUAUUUCUCAAUAACAUUUCCUAACCAUUGUCAGUACUAGCAUAAUUUUCACCAUUAUUUGUUUGUUUGAAGGUGGUGGAGAUAUUGGCAUGUGCAUUAUUAAGAUAGUCUGAAUAUGGUAAUUUUCAUAAUGAGAUUUAUUGUAUACAUCUCCUGGAAUAAAAAAAAAA